AUUGAACGCUGGCGGCAGGCCUAACACAUGCAAGUCGAGCGGAUGAAGGGAGCUUGCUCCUGGAUUCAGCGGCGGACGGGUGAGUAAUGCCUAGGAAUCUGCCUGGUAGUGGGGGGUAACGUCCGGAAACGGGCGCUAAUACCGCAUACGUCCUGAGGGAGAAAGUGGGGGAUCUUCGGACCUCACGCUAUCAGAUGAGCCUAGGUCGGAUUAGCUAGUUGGUGGGGUAAAGGCCUACCAAGGCGACGAUCCGUAACUGGUCUGAGAGGAUGAUCAGUCACACUGGAACUGAGACACGGUCCAGACUCCUACGGGAGGCAGCAGUGGGGAAUAUUGGACAAUGGGCGAAAGCCUGAUCCAGCCAUGCCGCGUGUGUGAAGAAGGUCUUCGGAUUGUAAAGCACUUUAAGUUGGGAGGAAGGGCAGUAAGUUAAUACCUUGCUGUUUUGACGUUACCAACAGAAUAAGCACCGGUUAACUUCGUG
RNAcentral lists this ribosomal RNA (484 nucleotides) under uncultured bacterium. RNAcentral's name for it is "partial 16S ribosomal RNA". It matches the Rfam family "Bacterial small subunit ribosomal RNA", at positions 30 to 507 of the family's 1533-position model. The record is from RNAcentral.